CAGACCGACCAAUCAGCGUCCGCGUCCGGAAGAGCCCGCUUGAUUUGAACUUAGCCUGGCGGAAGUGUUGAAGAGAAAGGGGGCGGGGCCCGGCGGCUGGCACUGGGAAAUACAGUAAUCACAAAUAGUACGAGAGGGGAUUUAUGGAAAUUGGAGACGUUAUUAUCGGCUUUAUUUAUACCAGGACCGUCUAACGCCAGUCGUCGGAUCACUUUACCAUGGCUGCUCCUGUGGCCGCUGAAGAAGGGAACGUCUCUGUGGUGGUCCGUGUUCGCCCCCCUAACUCACGAGAACAAGAAGGGAACCAGUACUCUGUGGUGCAGGUAAUGGACCAUAACAUUCUCAUCUUUGACCCUGAUGAGCCCGAUACGUCCGGAGUGUUCUCAAACCUGAGAGCUCACGAAGGAACAAAGCGCAAAGGGAAGGAUCUGAAAUUCAUAUUUGACCAAGUCUUUGGGGAACAAAGCAGCCAACAAGAUGUGUUUGAACACACAACCAAGCAGAUCCUUGAUGGGGUCUUAAAUGGCUACAACUGUUCAGUUUUUGCCUAUGGAGCUACCGGAGCAGGGAAGACGCACACAAUGUUGGGAAGUGAAGCCGACCCUGGAGUCAUGUAUCUCACUAUGGUGGAACUAUAUCAGCGAAUAGAAGCCAUCAAGGAGGAGAAGUCAUGUGAGGUGCUCGUCUCCUACCUGGAGGUGUACAAUGAACAGAUCCAGGACCUGCUGGAACCCAAAGGCUCUUUGGCAAUCAGAGAAGAUCCUCAGAAAGGGGUUGUAGUUCAGGGACUGUCCUUCCAUCAGCCCAAAUCUGCAAAGCAGCUACUGCAAAUGUUGGCCAAUGGCAACCUAAACCGGACCCAGCAUCCAACAGACGCUAAUGCAACUUCAUCCCGAUCACAUGCUGUUUUCCAGAUUUAUGUCAAGCAGCAAGAUCGUACGGCCAGCAUCAGCCAGGACAUUCGCAUGGCUAAAAUGAGCCUUAUUGAUCUGGCCGGAUCAGAACGAGCGUCAUCCACAAACGCCAAAGGCGAGCGCCUCAGAGAGGGCGCCAACAUCAAUCGUUCCCUGUUGGCUCUUAUAAAUGUCAUUAACGCGCUGGCUGAUGCCAAGAAUAAGAAGGCUCACAUCCCUUAUAGGGACAGUAAACUAACCCGCCUUCUGAAAGACUCCAUUGGAGGCAACUGUAGGACGGUGAUGAUUGCAGCCAUCAGCCCUUCAUGUCUAAGUUAUGACGACACCUACAACACGCUCAAAUAUGCCAACCGGGCCAAAGAGAUAAAACUGUCGCUGAAGAGCAAUGUAAUCAAUUUGGACUGUCAUAUCAGCAAAUACGCCGCCGUGUGUGAGGAGCUAAAAGCCGAGGUAGCUGAACUGAAAGCUAAACUGCGUUCCUAUGAAAUGAAGGAAUCCAAUGAAGACCCUACUGAAGCCUCAUCUCUGUGCCAAAGCCCUGUACAGGGAAAAUCGCCCAGUUUGGAAGAGCCUUUAGAUACAUCGAGCCCAGAGCAAGGUUUUAAGAAUCGUCUGCAAUCCCUGAGCAAGUUGUCUUCAGAGCAUUUACAUCAUAAGCGUCACUCCAAGAGGAAGAAAGAGAAUCACGAUUCUGGGUCUGAAAGCUUUGAAAGCGGAGAGACCGAUCUUAGUAUCCUGCUGGCUCCUCACAACCAUAGCACAGAAAAGCUGGUCACUGUGCUCCUCAAUCUUGUACGCAAACAAUAUGCCAUUCUGAAGACAGCCAAACUGCAGACCCCCGAAAUUGAUGCCGAGCUGCAAGCUGUGGAGUGUUUAGUCGCGAGGGAUCUGGGAGUCACUGAUACAGCACAGAACAAUACAGAGCCAAAAUCUGAUGUGUCUGAAGAGGUCAGCAAUAAAUUCCUCAAAGACGAGGACCGUCAUCUGCCAUCAAUGGAGGAUAUAAUUCCUGAUAUUAAAGAUGAGGAGCCAGUUGUCCAGGCACCUCCGGCCAGAAAGAGGCAGCCGGCUAAACGCUGCCGCCGGGACCUUCAUCCAGAUAUCAGCCCCUCCCUCCGCAGCCCAGUGGUGCCAGUAAAAAGAAGACGACAAGCUGAAACAAACACCCCAUCCAAAUCCAGCCAAGUCCCUCCCAGCACCCCAGAGGUUCAAGUGAAAAGACCGCGAAAAUCUGCAAUCCCCAGCCGACCAAACCUCCGGUCAAGUGCAAAUCUGUUUCCUAGUAAAACCACUGACCUCAAUAGCACUAGUCAGUCUAAACCGUCCCGGUGUACACCAAAGCAGGCCUCACAAGCCUUACCUAGCAUGCUUUCUCAGACAGUCACCAAAGGCCGGGUACCGCUGGGCACAUCUGCCCUCCAGAACAGCGUACCAGCACCGACUUUCAAUGUCAAGGACAUGAACACCACAUUUGACUUGUCUGAAGAAGGCUGGAUGAUGUCAGAGUUGGACAAAACUGUCAAUUUUGGACCUGCCGAAUUCUCUGGCUGGGAAAAUAUUGGCGUGCCACGGAUUGACUGCACAUUUGUAAAAAGCUCUGAUAUUCCUGUGUUUACCACUAAUGGCCUCUCAGUGAAAGGCCCCAAGUCUGCUUCAUGUGCUUCAAGUAUAAAGUCGUACUCUCAGAGAAGACGGCGAUCUAUGAGUGCAUCUUCUUCACGUGCGAGCAGUGGGCAAAUAAGCCAGAGUCGUAUUGGCAGAGUACAGCUGAGCACAGCCAAGCCGGUACAGCGGCCUCCGACUAUAGCAGAGAAAAUAUCCUGCAGCCCACGGGGACAAAGUACCAAGAGGACAGGAAAAGGGACUGUGGCCUUUGGCCGGUCAUUAGGGGGCGCUACAAUGUCUCGAUUAAUGCAGCUUGCAUCUACCAGGACGUAAGGACCCCGUGCUGUUCAGAUGAAAGACUUCUUACCUCAAAUGUCUCAUACACACUCCUCUGCCUCUUAGAACUUCCUGACCCGGACUUGAAUGCUUGAAACAGGUAUCAGCAGACUGUUCCGGAGCGUAGAAGUCCCACACGUGGUUUGGUUCUGUUAUGGCCUCCAGUGGUGAGAUGAAGACCAUGAUCAUAAAAUAAUGCCAUCUGGACCCUCGGCCAACCAAGCGUCUACCUCAUGAACUGCUAUCCAUUCAUAACCCAAGUGUGAUUUCUGUUUUAUCAAAGCCAUGUUGAAAGGCCCUGGUACGUGUGGGACUGUUAAAUGACUCCGCGUGUUGCUCUACUUCUCUGGAAGUCUAGCCCCUUACUCCGUAACGCAAAACACAU
Hyla sarda is the source of this 3240-nucleotide RNA transcript. It is a transcript of the gene named kinesin-like protein KIF18B, with no coding region annotated. The record is from RefSeq and is a predicted model, not a curated record. The transcript is spliced from 17 exons. NCBI's taxonomy places the organism in Eukaryota, Metazoa, Chordata, Amphibia, Anura, Hylidae.